UACGUAGGGAGCAAGCGUUAUCCGGAUUUAUUGGGUGUAAAGGGUGCGUAGACGGGAAAUUAAGUUAGCUGUGAAAUCCCUCGGCUUAACUGAGGAACUGCAACUAAAACUGAUUUUCUUGAGUGCUGGAGAGGAAAGUGGAAUUCCUAGUGUAGCGGUGAAAUGCGUAGAUAUUAGGAGGAACACCAGUGGCGAAGGCGACUUUCUGGACAGUAACUGACGUUGAGGCACGAAAGUGUGGGGAGCAAACAGG
This 253-nucleotide ribosomal RNA is filed under the name uncultured bacterium. RNAcentral describes it as "partial 16S ribosomal RNA". It matches the Rfam family "Bacterial small subunit ribosomal RNA", at positions 524 to 776 of the family's 1533-position model. The record is from RNAcentral.